GGUGAACGCUGGCGGCGUGCCUAACACAUGCAAGUCGAGCGGUGCAGUUUGAAGCUUCGGUGGAAAGCUGCAUAGCGGCGGACGGGUGAGGAAAACGUAGGAACGUGCCCCUUGGAGUUGGAUAGCCACGGGAAACUGUGGGUAAACCGACAUAGACUCGAGAGAGUAAAGGCCGAAAGGCGCCAAGGGAGCGGCCUGCGGCCCAUCAGGUAGUUGGUAGUGUAAAGGACUACCAAGCCGACGACGGGUAGCCGGUCUGAGAGGAUGGCCGGCCACAAGGGCACUGAGAGACGGGCCCUACUCCUACGGGAGGCAGCAGUGGGGGAUUUUGGACAAUGGGCGAAAGCCUGAUCCAGCAAUGCCGCGUGAGUGAUGAAGGCCUUAGGGUUGUAAAGCUCUUUUACCAGGGAUGAUAAUGACAGUACCUGGAGAAUAAAGCUCCGGCUAACUCCGUG
This 455-nucleotide ribosomal RNA is filed under the name uncultured bacterium. Its description in RNAcentral is "bacterial SSU rRNA". It matches the Rfam family "Bacterial small subunit ribosomal RNA", at positions 28 to 507 of the family's 1533-position model. The record is from RNAcentral.